AAUGUCAUAUUUUAAAUGCGAAAUUUUAAUUUUGUAUUUUUUUAUUUUAGUAUUCUAUAAUUUAAAAUUUAUCAAUUUAGUGUUAUAUAAUUUUAUUUUUAUUUUUUAUUUUUUCUCCACUAAUUUUUUUAUUAAAUCAGUGAUAAAGUUAGUGAAUAUUCAAUAAACUUAGGUGAGAUAUCUGAAAUUUUUUGUAUAUAAUUUAACGAAAUGUUAACGAAAAAGUUGACGAAAAGGGAAAAAGAAAACCACGAGAUACUAAAUUGAUACACUUUAAAUCACAAGUUAUUAAAGUGAGAAAGUGCGAAAUCACAAGAGUGAUAUUUGAAAUUUACAGUUUGAGUUUCUUGGCAUUGUUGAUUUCCACUUUUUUCUGCUUUUACACCACAACAGAAUUAGCUUAUAGGGACACAUGUUUGGAACACUUUUGAGUAAGUGUCCCAUUUAUCCUAAAACUUAAAAAAAUAUCUACUAAUGUCUAAAUACAAAGCCCAAUCCAACCAAAAAUAAAAGAUUACUCUACUCAACCCACCACACCCAGUCUAUUUGGCCCGAUUACAAACAGAAAAGAAAAAAAAAAAGAAAAAUCAAUUACCAUCUUUUCUUCUCUCUUCACUCAGUCCACUGAAAUUCUAGACGAAGAACCUUUCCUAUCGUCCUCCUCCGCCACCGCAGCCAACGAGAUAGAGUUUCGGCGGUUGCUAAAUGCUUAAAUAAGUGUUGGUGAAUUAACAGCGCUCUUUUAGGUUAUAGCGACACUCUUUAACUGUCACUAUAUACCUAGCGACCCCACAUAUAGCAACACUUUUUAAAAAUGUCGGUAAUUUUAGCUAGCAAUAUUUUUUUAACAUGUAUCUAUAUUUAAAAGUGUCGCUAUAGACCGUUUUUAUUAUAGUGGCUACUCCAAAUAGCUCUUGAAUAGAUAUAAAUCCUACACUAU
This 940-nucleotide long non-coding RNA is filed under the name Ananas comosus (pineapple). Its description in RNAcentral is "long non-coding RNA (ACOM_LNC007555)". Lineage: Eukaryota; Viridiplantae; Streptophyta; Magnoliopsida; Poales; Bromeliaceae. The record is from RNAcentral.